CAGAUCGCAUGAUCAGCUUUUAAAAGGCGGCGUAAGCUGUCGCUAUGGGGAUGGCCCCGCGGUGCAUUAGCUAGUUGGUAAGGGUAAAAGGGCUUACCAAGGCGAUGAUGCAUAGCCGAGUUGAGAGACUGAUCGGCCACAUUGGGACUGAGACACGGCCCAAACUCCUACGGGAGGCAGCAGUAGGGAAUCUUCCACAAUGGACGCAAGUCUGAUGGAGCAACGCCGCGUGAGUGAAGAAGGUUUUCGGAUCGUAAAGCUCUGUUGUUGGUGAAGAAGGAUAGAGGUAGUAACUGGCCUUUAUUUGACGGUAAUCAACCAGAAAAGUCACGGGCUAACUACGUGCCCAGUACGACGCGGGGUAAAU
This 367-nucleotide ribosomal RNA is filed under the name uncultured Lactobacillus sp. RNAcentral's name for it is "bacterial SSU rRNA". It matches the Rfam family "Bacterial small subunit ribosomal RNA", at positions 182 to 525 of the family's 1533-position model. Lineage: Bacteria; Bacillati; Bacillota; Bacilli; Lactobacillales; Lactobacillaceae. The record is from RNAcentral.